RNAcentral lists this ribosomal RNA (422 nucleotides) under uncultured bacterium. RNAcentral's name for it is "bacterial SSU rRNA". It matches the Rfam family "Bacterial small subunit ribosomal RNA", at positions 355 to 774 of the family's 1533-position model. The record is from RNAcentral.
UGAGGAAUAUUGGUCAAUGGGGGCAACCCUGAACCAGCCAAGUCGCGUGAAGGAUGAAGGUCUUAUGGAUUGUAAACUUCUUUUACACGGGAAUAAAGUGGGGGACGUGUCCCCCUUUGCAUGUACCGUGUGAAUAAGGAUCGGCUAACUCCGUGCCAGCAGCCGCGGUAAUACGGAGGAUCCGAGCGUUCUCCGGAUUUAUUGGGUUUAAAGGGUGCGCAGGCGGGAUGUUAAGUCGGCGGUGAAAUUUUGCAGCUCAACUGUAAAAGUGCCUUUGAUACUGGCCUCCUUGAGUGUGGAUGAAGUAGGCGGAAUUUGUGGUGUAGCGGUGAAAUGCUUAGAUAUCACGAGGAACUCCGAUUGCGCAGGCAGCUUACUAAGCCACAACUGACGCUCAUGCACGAAGGCGUGGGGAUCAAACA